AGUGAACGCUGGCGGUAGGCCUAACACAUGCAAGUCGAACGGCAGCACGGUAAGAGCUUGCUCUUACGGGUGGCGAGUGGCGGACGGGUGAGGAAUACAUCGGAAUCUACUUUUUCGUGGGGGAUAACGUAGGGAAACUUACGCUAAUACCGCAUACGACCUACGGGUGAAAGCAGGGGAUCUUCGGACCUUGCGCGAUUGAAUGAGCCGAUGUCGGAUUAGCUAGUUGGCGGGGUAAAGGCCCACCAAGGCGACGAUCCGUAGCUGGUCUGAGAGGAUGAUCAGCCACACUGGAACUGAGACACGGUCCAGACUCCUACGGGAGGCAGCAGUGGGGAAUAUUGGACAAUGGGCGCAAGCCUGAUCCAGCCAUACCGCGUGGGUGAAGAAGGCCUUCGGGUUGUAAAGCCCUUUUGUUGGGAAAGAAAAGCAGCAGGUUAAUACCCCGCUGUUCUGACGGUACCCAAAGAAUAAGCACCGGCUAACUUCGCG
Molecule: ribosomal RNA, 492 nt
Filed under: uncultured bacterium
Lineage: Bacteria
Description: partial 16S ribosomal RNA
Rfam family: Bacterial small subunit ribosomal RNA
Source: RNAcentral